Molecule: ribosomal RNA, 626 nt
Filed under: bacterium 47-L049640-122-012-G06
Lineage: Bacteria
Description: bacterial SSU rRNA
Rfam family: Bacterial small subunit ribosomal RNA
Source: RNAcentral
AGUCGAGCGGUAGGCCCUUCGGGGUACACGAGCGGCGAACGGGUGAGUAACACGUGAGCAACCUGCCCCUGACUCUGGGAUAAGCGGUGGAAACGCCGUCUAAUACCGGAUACGACCCGCCACCUCAUGGUGGAGGGUGGAAAGUUUUUCGGUCAGGGAUGGGCUCGCGGCCUAUCAGCUUGUUGGUGGGGUAACGGCCUACCAAGGCGAUUACGGGUAGCCGGCCUGAGAGGGCGACCGGCCACACUGGGACUGAGACACGGCCCAGACUCCUGCGGGAGGCAGCAGUGGGGAAUAUUGCGCAAUGGGCGAAAGCCUGACGCAGCGACGCCGCGUGGGGGAUGACGGCCUUCGGGUUGUAAACCUCUUUUACCACCAACGCAGGCUUCCAGUUCUCUGGAGGUUGACGGUAGGUGGGGAAUAAGGACCGGCUAACUACGUGCCAGCAGCCGCGGUAAUACGUAGGGUCCGAGCGUUGUCCGGAAUUAUUGGGCGUAAAGAGCUCGUAGGCGGCGUGUCGCGUCUGCUGUGAAAGACCGGGGCUUAACUCCGGUUCUGCAGUGGAUACGGGCAUGCUAGAGGUAGGUAGGGGAGACUGGAAUUCCUGGUGUAGCGGUGAAAUGCGC